RNAcentral lists this ribosomal RNA (252 nucleotides) under uncultured bacterium. Its description in RNAcentral is "partial 16S ribosomal RNA". It matches the Rfam family "Bacterial small subunit ribosomal RNA", at positions 524 to 776 of the family's 1533-position model. The record is from RNAcentral.
UACGUAGGUCCCGAGCGUUGUCCGGAUUUAUUGGGCGUAAAGCGAGCGCAGGUGGUUUAUUAAGUCUGGUGUAAAAGGCAGUGGCUCAACCAUUGUAUGCAUUGGAAACUGGUAGACUUGAGUGCAGGAGAGGAGAGUGGAAUUCCAUGUGUAGCGGUGAAAUGCGUAGAUAUACGGAAGAACACCAGUGGCGAAAGCGGCUCUCUGGUCUGUAACUGACGCUGAGGUUCGAAAGCGUGGGUAGCAAACAGG